This 83-nucleotide microRNA precursor is filed under the name Schistosoma mattheei. RNAcentral describes it as "mir-3492 microRNA precursor family". It matches the Rfam family "mir-3492 microRNA precursor family". The record is from Rfam by way of RNAcentral. Lineage: Eukaryota; Metazoa; Platyhelminthes; Trematoda; Strigeidida; Schistosomatidae.
AGCUUUUUGAAUCCGUGCUGAGAUUUCGUCAGACACCGAACCAUUAGGACUGAUCAGACUCACAAUUGAUUGAUCACUGAGUG